RNAcentral lists this ribosomal RNA (524 nucleotides) under uncultured bacterium. Its description in RNAcentral is "partial 16S ribosomal RNA". It matches the Rfam family "Bacterial small subunit ribosomal RNA", at positions 28 to 523 of the family's 1533-position model. The record is from RNAcentral.
GACGAACGCUGGCGGCGUGCCUAAUACAUGCAGGUCGAGCGCAGGAAAUCGACGGAACCCUUCGGGGGGAAGUCGACGGAAUGAGCGGCGGACGGGUGAGUAACACGUAAAGAACCUGCCCUCAGGUCUGGGAUAACCACGAGAAAUCGGGGCUAAUACCGGAUGGGUCAUCGGACCGCAUGGUCCGAGGAUGAAAGGCGCUUCGGCGUCGCCUGGGGAUGGCUUUGCGGUGCAUUAGCUAGUUGGUGGGGUAAUGGCCCACCAAGGCGACGAUGCAUAGCCGACCUGAGAGGGUGAUCGGCCACACUGGGACUGAGACACGGCCCAGACUCCUACGGGAGGCAGCAGUAGGGAAUCUUCCACAAUGGACGAAAGUCUGAUGGAGCAACGCCGCGUGAACGAUGAAGGCCUUCGGGUCGUAAAGUUCUGUUGUAGGGGAAGAACAAGUGCCGCAGGCAAUGGCGGCACCUUGACGGUACCUUGCGAGAAAGCCACGGCUAACUACGUGCCAGCAGCCGCAGUAA